UUGCCCAGUCUGCAGAGUUCGGGUUGGAUCUAGUAGGAGACGAGGCAUAGUCACCCGUUUUUCGGCCAGUUUUCAUCAGUAGGUUACCUGUUCAACUUACUCGUGUUUUCUUGCUUCCGCUUGUGUUUAGUAGCUCUGAAUACUUUAGAAUUUUUGUAUUUUAUGCGAUGUUCAGAAGUGAUAAAUUAAGAGUGUAAUUUGAAAUUUUUGAGUUAGGGUUGUCCAUCUGCAAGGGAGAUUUUCUUAAUCUUUUCAGUAAAUUUUCCUUGGAGGUGGUCCCCGCACGACUUACUCUGAGUUUCAGGGUGAAAUUCGGGGUGGGUCGUGUCAUAUUGUGUCGGUUUUGAUCCCUUCCUUUGAAGGUGACUCAUGGCACUGCAUCCUCAAGGAGGAUCGCCCACGUGUUUCCAGUUAAGUCUUCUACCCUAUAGCGGAUUUUUCAUCAUCAAUUGUUCAACUAGGCUCAUCCAAGCUCAGUGUGAUGUCUUAGAAUUGUCCGAAAUUAAGGAGAUAGUGGUUUUAAGUGUGCCUCGCACUACCGACCCUCCACGGACAUGCCUGGUCAUACUGGCUCCAAACCACAGGAGCAUGCGUUUGCUAAAUGUAUUGAAACGCACAUGGACUCUACUUGAUUUGGAAGGGAUAUGGUGAAUUAUGCCUUUGCGUGUUCAUUCCGGAUUUACAUGGACUCUUGAUGGAUCAAGCGAUGCCAAUAUGUAUCAACAUCCGAAGAAAAAAUCUUGGGAAGACAUGGUCUCGAUAAGGCACUCGAUGACUGUAUUGAUGAUGAUUUUCCAUCAAUCGGCUUCGGCGCUCUAUAACUAGUGAGGCCUACAUAUACUCCCAUGAUUAGUCAAGGUCUUUGCUCUAAAGAGAGAUCCGUUGUUUUGUUUAAAGCAAGAUGACAAAUAUGUGUUAAGAGAUGGAGUUCCCAUCUAAGUACAAUAAGACGCAUCAAUGUACUCAACACAAUACGAAAGACUUGACAUCUCAUUCGCUAUGAAAAGUUGUAAAGCUAAGUGUAGCUAUGCACCCACGCAACUCCAAUGUAAUGGCAGUAACUCCUUUUUCAAUACUUAAU
This 1081-nucleotide long non-coding RNA is filed under the name Fragaria vesca (wild strawberry). RNAcentral describes it as "long non-coding RNA (FVES_LNC005174)". Lineage: Eukaryota; Viridiplantae; Streptophyta; Magnoliopsida; Rosales; Rosaceae. The record is from RNAcentral.